AGGACAUGGCAACCCACACCAGUAUUCUUGCUUGAAGAAUCCCAUGGACAGAGGAGGCUGGGAUGAGUGCACGUCCUUCUACUGGACUAUCUUGAACCAGAAGCCAGAAGCCAGUCAUAACCACUGGACCACCAGAGAAGUCCUAAUACCCCCACCCCAUGUUUUUAAAUUGAUGUUUCAUGUGUGAAUAAUAAUAACAAAAGUUACUUUGUGCCAA
This is a long non-coding RNA of Bubalus bubalis (water buffalo), 217 nucleotides long. RefSeq lists it as uncharacterized. NCBI's taxonomy places the organism in Eukaryota, Metazoa, Chordata, Mammalia, Artiodactyla, Bovidae. The record is from RefSeq and is a predicted model, not a curated record. The transcript has 2 exons.